This 1507-nucleotide ribosomal RNA is filed under the name metagenome. RNAcentral's name for it is "bacterial LSU rRNA". It matches the Rfam family "Bacterial large subunit ribosomal RNA", at positions 1276 to 2911 of the family's 2925-position model. The record is from RNAcentral.
CAGUGAUCAGAAGUGAGAAUGUUGACAUGAGUAGCGACAAACAGGGUGAGAGACCCUGUCGCCGAAAGUCCAAGGGUUCCUGCUUAAAGCUAAUCUGAGCAGGGUAAGCCGGCCCCUAAGGCGAGGCCGAAAGGCGUAGUCGAUGGGAACCAGGUUAAUAUUCCUGGGCCAGGAGAUGGUGACGGAUCGCAGAGGUAGUUCUUCCUUAUCGGAUUGGAAGGGCUGCUGAGCGGUUCCUGGAAAUAGCCCUCCACAAGACCGUACCCUAAACCGACACAGGUGGACUGGUAGAGAAUACCAAGGCGCUUGAGAGAACCACAUUUAAGGAACUCGGCAAAAUACCUCCGUAAGUUCGCGAGAAGGAGGCCCCGUUUGUACGCAAGUAUGGGCGGGGGGCACAAACCAGGGGGUGGCGACUGUUUACUAAAAACACAGGGCUCUGCGAAGCCGUAAGGCGACGUAUAGGGUCUGACGCCUGCCCGGUGCCGGAAGGUUAAAAGGAGAUGUGCAAGCAUUGAAUUGAAGCCCCGGUAAGCGGCGGCCGUAACAAUAACGGUCCUAAGGUAGCGAAAUUCCUUGUCGGGUAAGUUCCGACCUGCACGAAUGGCGUAACGACUUCCCCGCUGUCUCAAAUGUGGACUCAGCGAAAUUGAAUUGUCUGUGAAGAUGCAGACUUCCCGCGGUUAGACGGAAAGACCCCAUGCACCUUUACUAUAGCUUCGCACUGGCAUCAGGAUUGUGAUGUGCAGGAUAGGUGGUAGGCAUUGAAACCGGGACGCCAGUUCCGGUGGAGCCAUCCUUGAGAUACCACCCUUCGCACUCUUGAUGUCUAACCGCGGCCCGUUAUCCGGGUCCGGGACCCUGCGUGGUGGGUAGUUUGACUGGGGCGGUCGCCUCCCAAAAAGUAACGGAGGCGCGCGAAGGUUGGCUCAGAGCGGUCGGAAAUCGCUCGUUGAGUGCAAUGGCAGAAGCCAGCCUGACUGCAAGACUGACAAGUCGAGCAGAGACGAAAGUCGGCCAUAGUGAUCCGGUGGUCCCGAGUGGAAGGGCCAUCGCUCAACGGAUAAAAGGUACGCUGGGGAUAACAGGCUGAUGAUGCCCAAGAGUCCAUAUCGACGGCAUCGUUUGGCACCUCGAUGUCGGCUCAUCUCAUCCUGGGGCUGGAGCAGGUCCCAAGGGUACGGCUGUUCGCCGUUUAAAGAGGUACGUGAGCUGGGUUUAGAACGUCGUGAGACAGUUCGGUCCCUAUCUGCCGUGGGUGUAGGAUACUUGAGAGGAGUUGCCCCUAGUACGAGAGGACCGGGGUGAACGUUCCACUGGUGGACCAGUUGUCGUGCCAACGGCAGUGCUGGGUAGCUAUGAACGGACAGGAUAAACGCUGAAGGCAUCUAAGCGUGAAGCCCCCCUCAAAACAAGGUAUCCCUUGAGAGCCGUGGAAGACCACCACGUCGAUAGGCCGGAGAUGUAAGUGCAGCAAUGCAUUCAGUUGACCGGUACUAAUGGCUCC